GACAGAGGUGCCGAGCGUUAGGCGGAAUCACUGGGCUUAAAGCGUGUGUAGGCGGAUCCGUAAGUACCUUGUGAAAUCCCACGGCUCACCCGUGGAACUGCUGGGCAUACUGGCGAUCUUGGGCCAACUAGGGGCAACUGGAACAAGCGGUGGAGCGGUGAAAUGCGUAGAUAUCGCUUGGAACGCCAAAGGUGAAAACAGGUUGCUGGGGUUGUGCCGACGCUGAGACACGAAAGCCAGGGGAGCAAACGGG
Molecule: ribosomal RNA, 253 nt
Filed under: uncultured bacterium
Lineage: Bacteria
Description: partial 16S ribosomal RNA
Rfam family: Bacterial small subunit ribosomal RNA
Source: RNAcentral